CGGAUGCCCAGUUAGCUACGGCUCGGUGUGUAACAAAAUGUUCCUGACGAGCUGUGGAUAUGUGGGAGACAAGGUCCCCAUUUUCAGCAUCAGCUCAUUUCUCUGUUCACAAGCGGUGUGUCCUCUGCAGAAAAGCUUGGAUCCAGGAGGAUGAUUCCAGCUGCGCUGGUACAGGAAUUGUCCAGGAACCCUACCCGGAGGAGAGACUCUCAGAAGUGAACCUGAUCAGCCUGAACAUUCUUCUAAGCAGACAUGAACAGUCCUCAGCUUUCUCCCUCCUGCAUAAAUGGCUAAAAAGAAGUCAUUUGCCAGUCUACUGCCCUCAUGUGAUGGAAAGCGAGCGAGAGCGAUGAGACCGUGAGCAUGGUUGAUGCCACGCAAAAGCCAUCCAUCUGGCAGCAGAAGAGCUGUCGCAGUGAGAUAAGUGUCUGUUUUGGUGAGGGCUCUGCUCAUGGCCCACGUUGAUGCUGGUAGGGAUGCCCCGUUAGCUAGGGCUGGGUUUGUAAGAAAAGGUUCCUGACUAGCUGUGGUUGUAAGAGAGACAAGGUUCCCAAUUUCAGGGGCUGAUGAUUCCUCUGGUCAGGAGCAGUGUGACCUACGCAGCAGAAGGUAGCAUCUAGAGGAUGACUCCAGGUGUCGAGUUACUUGCCUUCCUCCCAUGUUUCUCUGUCUUCUCUAUUGUGUUG
Molecule: long non-coding RNA, 686 nt
Organism: Mauremys reevesii (Reeves's turtle)
Lineage: Eukaryota; Metazoa; Chordata; Testudines; Geoemydidae
Exons: 3
Source: RefSeq, a predicted model, not a curated record